Megalobrama amblycephala (Wuchang bream) is the source of this 4422-nucleotide long non-coding RNA. RefSeq lists it as uncharacterized. The transcript has 4 exons. NCBI's taxonomy places the organism in Eukaryota, Metazoa, Chordata, Actinopteri, Cypriniformes, Xenocyprididae. The record is from RefSeq and is a predicted model, not a curated record.
UAGUAUUUGCUAAUACGAUAACAUUAAAUCUGAUUGGUUUGCAUUGGUGACGUCAUAUGUAAAUUAUAUGCGGACCGUGAGACUUGCACUUGGACCAUUGUGCGGCCCACUGGGAAAAAAGUUUGAGAACCACUGCAAUACAUGCAUGCAUUACCACUAAUCUACCCACAACAUGUUUGACUGGCUGGUGUAAAAACUUUAAAGGCGUUUUUCUCAGUUUCAGUGUUUGCGUAGUUACUGAACUUUGCCUUUGUAGGGCAGUAUAGUCUAUGUGGAGAAUAAUGCACACGCACAGCAGUCAGUUAUUUAUUUAUUUAUUUAUUUUAAAAUGGCGUUUAUCGGUUUUUGCAAAUGAACUUUUCAGGUUCAGGAUACAUGUACUCCUCGCUGUAGCUACUUACUAGUUUUACAUUUACUUGAAGUGCAGUUAGGUCUGUUAUUGGGUUAUUGUCAUCCUCUGCUCCACCGUGGACCAACUGUGACCAAAGCAACUGACGUCAGUUUGAAAAUAAGUAAUGUAUCUCACCUCACUAUAAUGUGAAAAAUAAUGUUUUUAUAUGUUUUAUGUUUGUGUAAUAAGGAGGGAAGAAAUCACAUUUCAGAACAAUUAGAAUAUUUUAAAUUUUUUAAUUAUUUUAAUAUCUUGAUUUAGCCUAUCCACGGCCCCCCUGCAAUACCGCUACGGCCCACCGGGGGGCCGCGGCCCACAGUUUGGGAAGCACUGGUCUAGUUAAUUAUUAGUAUAUUUAGUAUUUAUUGAGUCUGCAUGUUGUGACUGUCUUAAUUCUAAUACAAAGAUUAUCUGGUAAAAAAUAGUUAGAUUUCUAUGCAUUCUGUGAUUAUAGACAAUGGCUGUUCUCAAUAUGCGUCCUUGUGUUUUUGCUCUACGUCAUCAUCAACCGUCGAACGCAAGAACAGAGGACACAUGAAAGUACCCGGAUGUGUUCUUGAUAUCGAGGAUGCGUCGAGUGCAGACUUGCGCGCCGAAUUCGCUUGAAGCCCCAGAAAUCAUUGCGGCAAAACAAUGGCGGAGGAAGAAAGCGCUACACAUAACUACGUUUUUAACGUUGUCUUAACAACAAAACCCCAGAUAUACAUUUACAUAUGUAACCCCUCACCCAGGUCCUACUCGCCCCGCUCUGUGCGGGCUUAAACCUUGGUCUCCGGCAUGGGAGUCGGACGCUCUAUCAAGGAGGCUAAAGGCUGCAACCUCUAGCAUCAGUCGCUAGAGCAUCUCUUGAGAUCAGAGGAGUGAGGUUUACUCGCACAGCAACUACUAGCUGGCCUCCGUUACACAAAUAUAAUUUAGAUGAGGAAAUUUGGUUGUUGACAAGUCAGGUUACAAGUUUAUGUAUUCCUCAGAACAUAACGUUAAGCGUUUUAAUUAAACUACGCUAGCUUUCAUUCUGAGGUCAUUGUAAUUAACUAACUUUAAUUCAAUUAGCUUACCUUAAACCAUGCUUAACUAACUUUUGGUUAAUCUGUUAUUUAACAAUAAAAUUUAUUUUACUAUAAAUUUGUAUUCGUUAGGGAGCAGUGAAGAGACGAGCGAAUGAAGCCCUCCUCACUGGAAAAACAAACUCAUCCAAGUCUGGCUGGGAGGUUUGUGUUAAGAACGUGGCUGUUCCAGUUACGGCUAAACAAGCAAAUAUCUGAGGGACCCACCAACAGGGAAAGGGGUAGAGGCAGGAGGAGUAACAGCUGCCACCUGACAGUGGUAUUCGGAAAUGGAUGCCGUGCUCCCGGGGCAGCAUUCGAUUAAUCCGAUUAAAUAGUGCCUGCUUCCUCCUCUGCCCCCAUCCAAUGCUGAAAGAGGCAAAGCUCUACUGAGCUCAUUGACCUUCUGCGUGAGCAGGCAGAGAGAAAUGAGGAAAGAGAGAGGCAGCUGCUAAGAGGAAGAAAGAGAGAGAAACUUGUUAAAAAGCUGUAAUAAAAUUUAGUUGAGAUGACUAUUAUGGAUUGAAUCAUUUAUUCAUUAUUAUAUUGAAUUAUUUACAAUUGCAUGAAUGAACGUGACUCACCCUGUUAUCCUACACUACAUAAAACAUGAAUAAUUGCCAGCCCAGCCACUAAUUAAUAAGACGUUUUUAAAUGUGUGUGAACAUACCUGAGAUUACAGCUGAAUACAUUAGGGUUACAUACAACACACACACACACACACACACACUCAGAAGGAAGAUGAAUUCAUUACAUUGUAAGUGAAUUAUUUAGUGGAGGACUGUCUACAUGAUGCACAGAUGUUGGCAUUGCAAACGCGUCUGCUGUCACCCGGUAAGAUGCCCCACAUGAAGGACUCGAAUCUCAUGUCUCCAGCUGUGAUGCUUUCUCCUCGUCUGAAUCUCAGUGAAGGCACUGCAUCUUCUUCAGAAAAACACACUUGUAAGACUGGCACUGGACUGUUCAGCAUAAGUGUACAUAAGCAUGUGUGUUUUUACUGUAGGCCUAAAUACAAUCAUCAUGUUUAAUAUAUGACCACACUUUAUUAUGUUGAAAUUUCAUUUUACACUUUUAAUAAAUUGUUUUCUAUGAUCAUAAUUUAGUAAUUGAAUGAGUAACAUUUACAAUAAAAAUAUUAAACUCUUAGCCUACUAAAAAAAUUAAAUGUUUUGUUUACUUGCAUUAUGUCAUAUUAUAGGUAACCAAGUUGAUAUGUUGACAAAAUAUACAAUAAAAAAAUGACAAAAUACAAUAAAAAAAUUACAAUAAAGGUCGCCUGGCGAGACCGGUUUUUGAGAAACAGCCAAUGCUGCAUGUGAACAUGACUUUUAUUUUGAAGUGACGACAUGACGUCAUAAGACUGCGCCGCGCUGCUGCAUCUGUUGUGAUUCUGCUGAAGAAAGUAAGAAGUUAAGCUGUUUUAAUCGAUAGAAACAGUUAACUCUGUUAAUGAUUCUCUUCUUAAAGAUGGCGUUUAUUAAAGAUGAGAGUGAAGACAUUAAGAUUGAGUUUAUUAAAGAUGAGACUGAAGACAUAAGGAUUGAAGAAACAUUCAGAGUGAAACAUGAAGAUACUGAGGAACAAACAGGAAGUGACAUCAUAUGGGCUCUGUGGCGACCAGGGCGGGCGAGAGCCGUGAGGGAACUGCGCGAGGCCGGUGGCGCGAGUGAUAAUGAGCUUCACCUGUGAGGCGCAGCGGCCUUGACUCCCUCACAGAGGAGCUCCGGGAGCAUAAAAGGAGGAGCGACGACAGUGAAGGACGAGAGAGGACCAGGCCUGGACUUUAUUUUAUGUUUUAUUAUGUUUGUGUGACCGGCAGACGUCCGCGAGGGUCUGCCGGCUUUACUUUCGUUUUGUUCUUUGUUUAUUUUGAAAUUAAAGUUUUGUUUAACGUUCGCCGGUUCCCGCCUCCUUCUUCCCAUACUUACUAACUGUGUUACAGGCUCUUUCUACAGCAUGAUGGGAGGACAAAUAAUCUCAAUCCAUUGUCUCAGUUUUUACACAAAUGAAUGACUGCAUUCAUCAACCCUGUUACCAAAGUUAUUGUAAGAAGAGAUUUUGCUCAAGUUGCAUUAAAAAUAAAACUUGAGCAAUAACAGUGUUGAAAACUGGAUUGAAAAUGCCUAAAUUCUGGUAACACUCCUGCAAAUUGUGAACCAGAUAUGAAACAAAUGUAAAAUAGUUAGUUUCUCAAAGGUUUCUCAAACUGAGCAUAUGUUAAAAAUGAACAUUAUGUAUCAUUGUUUUAUUGUUUCUCUAAAUAUGCAGAAGUGCUUGAAUCUAACAUGAAUGUUGUUCAGCAUCAUGAAUGAAUGAAGAAUAAACAUCAAUCUCUUUGUUCUUCAGUCGUUCAUGAUGCUGAACAACAUUCAUGAUAGAAAGAUUCAACAACACAUUUAGAUAUGCAGUUAAUCUAAUAUUCAACAAAUGGUCAGUAAAGUGAGAUUUGAAAAAUGUUCAUAUUGAUUGUCAACAUCAGGUCAAAAUACAUAAUAUUUUAUAUCUGGUUCAAAAUUUGAAACAAUGUAACCAAACUUUUUUUUUUUUUUUUUUUUCAAAAUAAAAAAAGUAGUAAUAUCAGUAAACACCAAACUGUAUCAAGGAAAUUCACUUUCCAAAAUGGCUGACAGGGUUUUAAGCUUGACUUAAGCAAAAUCUGAUUUAUUGUUAUUGAUAAAGUUGUACUUUUCAUAAAAAGUAGAAGUUAUUCAUAAAUAAAAGUUGGUGUCAAAAUAUGUCAAUAAUUGUGAUUCAUCAGCAUAUUUAAUAGUUCUCACAACAGAAACUUUUGAUUUGUCUAUUAUGUUUUAAAUAUAAUAAUUGUUUCAGGGACAUAUAAUAAAUAUAUAAAAAGGCAUUAGAAGUGAUCAGUAUAUUUCAUAGCAGUUGUCUACUUCAGUACAUGAAGGUUCACUUUUAUGUUCUUUCACUUCAUAAUCCUCAUUUUGAAUUACUUUAAUAUACUGAAAAUUAACUAUUUUUGUA